CCUAUUUUCGUUGGUUUAGGUACUUCAGUAAUGAUGAAUAGAAACGGUUAGGGGCAUUUGUAUUUGGUCGCUAGAGGUGAAAUUCUUGGAUUGA
This 94-nucleotide ribosomal RNA is filed under the name Rhizopus arrhizus. RNAcentral describes it as "Rhizopus oryzae partial small subunit ribosomal RNA". The record is from RNAcentral. Lineage: Eukaryota; Fungi; Mucoromycota; Mucoromycetes; Mucorales; Rhizopodaceae.